Molecule: transfer RNA, 85 nt
Filed under: Felis catus (domestic cat)
Lineage: Eukaryota; Metazoa; Chordata; Mammalia; Carnivora; Felidae
Rfam family: tRNA
About the family: Transfer RNA (tRNA) molecules are approximately 80 nucleotides in length.
Source: Rfam by way of RNAcentral
GCCUGGUUGGCUCAGUCGGUUGAGCGUCCGACUUCGGCUCUGGUCAUGAUCUCGCGGUCUGUGAGUUCGAGCCCCACGUCGGGCU